CCUACGGGUGGCAGCAGUGAGGAAUAUUGGUCAAUGGGCGCGAGCCUGAACCAGCCAAGUCGCGUGAGGGAAGACGGCCCUACGGGUUGUAAACCUCUUUUGCCGGGGAGCAACGGGCGCCACGUGUGUCUCCCCUGAGAGUACCCGCAGAAAAAGCAUCGGCUACCUCCUUGCCAGCAGCGGCGGUAAUAAGGAGGGUGGGAGCGUUUUCCGGGUUUUUUGGGUUUAAAGGGUGCUGAGGCGGCGGGUUAAGUUAGUGGUGAAAUUUGGAGGCCCAACCCCUUCACCGCCGUUGAAAUGGGCGGGCUUGAGAGGAAGUGAAGUAGGCGGAAUGCGUGGUGUAGCGGUGAAAUGCAUAGAGAUCACACAGAACCCCGAUUGCGAAGGCAGCAUGCCGGGUUACGACUGACGCUGAAGCACGAAAGCGUGGGGAUCGAACAGGAUUAGAUACCCCAGUAGUC
Molecule: ribosomal RNA, 461 nt
Filed under: uncultured bacterium
Lineage: Bacteria
Description: partial 16S ribosomal RNA
Rfam family: Bacterial small subunit ribosomal RNA
Source: RNAcentral